AUGAACGCUAGCGGCAGGCCUAACACAUGCAAGUCGAACGGCAGCGGACCUUCGGGUGCCGGCGAGUGGCGAACGGGUGAGUAAUAUAUCGGAACGUACCUUUCAGUGGGGGAUAACGUAGCGAAAGUUACGCUAAUACCGCAUAUUCUGUGAGCAGGAAAGCAGGGGAUCGCAAGACCUUGCGCUGAUUGAGCGGCCGAUAUCAGAUUAGCUAGUUGGUGAGGUAAAGGCUCACCAAGGCGACGAUCUGUAGCGGGUCUGAGAGGAUGAUCCGCCACACUGGAACUGAGACACGGUCCAGACUCCUACGGGAGGCAGCAGUGGGGAAUUUUGGACAAUGGGCGCAAGCCUGAUCCAGCCAUGCCGCGUGAGUGAAGAAGGCCUUCGGGUUGUAAAGCUCUUUCGGCCGGGAAGAAAUCGCACAGGUUAAUACCCUGUGUGGAUGACGGUACCGGAAUAAGAAGCACCGGCUAACUACGUG
Molecule: ribosomal RNA, 481 nt
Filed under: uncultured bacterium
Lineage: Bacteria
Description: bacterial SSU rRNA
Rfam family: Bacterial small subunit ribosomal RNA
Source: RNAcentral